GACGGACGCUGGCGGCGUGCUUAACACAUGCAAGUCGAACGCGCCUGUCCUCUGGGUUUCUGGGGGGUGGGUGAGUGGCGAACGGGUGAGUAACACGUGAGUAACCUGCCCCCUUCUUCGGGAUAACGGUCUGAAAGGGCUGCUAAUACCGGGUAUUCACUGGUCUCCGCAUGGGGUCUGGUGGAAAGGUUUUUUUCUGGUGGGGGAUGGGCUCGCGGCCUAUCAGCUUGUUGGUGGGGUGAUGGCCCACCAAGGCUUUGACGGGUAGCCGGCCUGAGAGGGUGACCGGUCACAUUGGGACUGAGAUACGGCCCAGACUCCUACGGGAGGCAGCAGUGGGGAAUAUUGCACAAUGGGCGCAAGCCUGAUGCAGCGACGCCGCGUGAGGGAUGGAGGCCUUCGGGUUGUGAACCUCUUUCGCCCGUGGUCAAGCCGCGACGUGGGUCGUGGUGAGGGUAGUGGGUAAAGAAGCGCCGGCUAACUACGUG
RNAcentral lists this ribosomal RNA (488 nucleotides) under uncultured bacterium. RNAcentral describes it as "partial 16S ribosomal RNA". It matches the Rfam family "Bacterial small subunit ribosomal RNA", at positions 28 to 507 of the family's 1533-position model. The record is from RNAcentral.